GACGAACGCUGGCGGCGUGCUUAACACAUGCAAGUCGAGCGGUAAGGCCCUUUCGGGGGUACACGAGCGGCGAACGGGUGAGUAAUACGUGGGUGACCUGCCCUCAGCUCUGGGAGUAAGCCUGGGAAACCGGGUCUAAUACCGGAUAUGACUCCAUGACGCAUGUUGUGGGGUGGAAAGCCUUGUGCGGCUGAGGAUGGGCCCGCGGCCUAUCAGCUUGUUGGUGGGGUGAUGGCCUACCAAGGCGACGACGGGUAGCCGGCCUGAGAGGGCGACCGGCCACACUGGGACU
Molecule: ribosomal RNA, 292 nt
Filed under: uncultured bacterium
Lineage: Bacteria
Description: partial 16S ribosomal RNA
Rfam family: Bacterial small subunit ribosomal RNA
Source: RNAcentral